GAUCCUGGCUCAGAAUCAACGCUGGCGGCGUGCCUAACACAUGCAAGUCGCACGAGAAAGGGGCUUCGGCCUUGAGUAAAGUGGCGCACGGGUGAGUAACACGUGAAUUAUCUACCUCCGAGUGGGGAAUAACUGAGAGAAAUCUUAGCUAAUACCGCAUAACACUUACGAGUCAAAGCAGCAAUGCGCUUGGAGAGGAGUUCGCGGCAGAUUAGUUAGUUGGCGGGGUAAUGGCCCACCAAGACGAUGAUCUGUAUCCGGCCUGAGAGGGCGCACGGACACACUGGAACUGAAACACGGUCCAGACUCCUACGGGAGGCAGCAGUGGGGAAUUUUGCGCAAUGGGGGAAACCCUGACGCAGCAACGCCGCGUGGAGGAUGAAAUAUCUUGGUAUGUAAACUCCUUUCGAUGGGGAAGAUUAUGACGGUACCCAUAGAAGAAGCCCCGGCUAACUUCGUGCCAGCAGCCGCGGUAAUACGAGGGGGGCAAGCGUUGUUCGGAUUUAUUGGGCGUAAAGGGUGCGUAGGCGGUUUGGCAAGUCUUGUGUGAAAUCUAUGGGCUCAACCCAUAGUCUGCACAAGAAACUGCCGGGCUUGAGUAUGGGAGAGGUGAGUGGAAUUUCCGGUGUAGCGGUGAAAUGCGUAGAUAUCGGAAGGAACACCUGUGGCGAAAGCGGCUCACUGGACCAU
Molecule: ribosomal RNA, 690 nt
Filed under: uncultured Acidobacteriota bacterium
Lineage: Bacteria; Pseudomonadati; Acidobacteriota
Description: bacterial SSU rRNA
Rfam family: Bacterial small subunit ribosomal RNA
Source: RNAcentral